CCUACGGGAGGCAGCAGUGAGGAAUAUUGGUCAAUGGCCGGAAGGCUGAACCAGCCAAGUCGCGUGAAGGAAGACGGCCCUAAGGAUUGUAAACCUCUUUUGUCAAGGGACAAAACCAGCCCCGUGUGCCUGAUCGAGGGUACCCGAAGAAAAAGCAUCGGCUAACUCCGUGCCAGCAGCCGCGGUAAUACGGAGGAUGCGAGCGUUAUCCGGAUUUAUUGGGGUUAAAGGGUGCGUAGGCGGACGGUCAAGUCAGCGGUAAAAUCGCGGGGCUCAACCCCGUCCGGCCGUUGAAACUGGCUGUCUUGAGUGGGCGAGAAGUAUGCGGAAUGCGUGGUGUAGCGGUGAAAUGCAUAGAUAUUACGCAGAACUCCGAUUGCGAAGGCAGCAUACCGGCGCCCAACUGACGCUGAGGCACGAAAGCGUGGGUAUCGAACAGGAUUAGAUACCCUAGUAGUC
This 459-nucleotide ribosomal RNA is filed under the name uncultured bacterium. RNAcentral describes it as "partial 16S ribosomal RNA". It matches the Rfam family "Bacterial small subunit ribosomal RNA", at positions 338 to 795 of the family's 1533-position model. The record is from RNAcentral.